Molecule: ribosomal RNA, 424 nt
Filed under: uncultured cyanobacterium
Lineage: Bacteria; Bacillati; Cyanobacteriota
Description: bacterial SSU rRNA
Rfam family: Bacterial small subunit ribosomal RNA
Source: RNAcentral
GGGGAAUUUUCCGCAAUGGGCGAAAGCCUGACGGAGCAAUACUGCGUGAGGGAUGACGGCCUAUGGGUUGUAAACCUCUUUUAUCAGGGAGGAAUCAAUGACGUUACCUGAUGAAUAAGCAUCGGCUAACUCCGUGCCAGCAGCCGCGGUAAGACGGGGGAUGCAAGUGUUAUCCGGAAUCACUGGGCGUAAAGCGUCUGUAGGUGGUCCAAUAAGUCAACUGUUAAAUCUUGAGGCUCAACCUCAAAAUCGCAGUCGGAACUAUUAGACUAGAGUAUAGUAGGGGUAAAGGGAAUUUCCAGUGGAGCGGUGAAAUGCGUAGAGAUUGGAAAGAACACCGAUGGCGAAGGCACUUUACUGGGCUAUUACUAACACUCAGAGACGAAGGCUAGGGUAGCANAUGGGAUUAGAUACCCCAGUAGUC